This 57-nucleotide microRNA precursor is filed under the name Oreochromis niloticus (Nile tilapia). RNAcentral's name for it is "microRNA oni-mir-10707 precursor". The record is from miRBase by way of RNAcentral. Lineage: Eukaryota; Metazoa; Chordata; Actinopteri; Cichliformes; Cichlidae.
UCUGACACAUUUCAAGCACCAUUAUUAAUUUUGAUGGGGCUGUGAUGACGUCAAUGU